UAUGACAGUGGAGAGUUUGAUCCUGGCUCAGGAUGAACGCUAGCGAUAGGCUUAACACAUGCAAGUCGAGGGGCAGCAUGAACUUAGCUUGCUAAGUUUGAUGGCGACCGGCGCACGGGUGCGUAACGCGUAUGCAACUUGCCUUACAGAGGGGGAUAACCCGUUGAAAGNGGCAGCAUGAACUUAGCUUGCUAAGUUUGAUGGCGACCGGCGCACGGGUGCGUAACGCGUAUGCAACUUGCCUUACAGAGGGGGAUAACCCGUUGAAAGACGGACUAAUACCGCAUAUACUUAUUCGGUUGCAUGACCGGGCAAGGAAAUAUUUAUAGCUGUAAGAUAGGCAUGCGUCCCAUUAGCUGGUUGGUGAGGUAACGGCUCACCAAGGCAACGAUGGGUAGGGGAACUG
RNAcentral lists this ribosomal RNA (406 nucleotides) under Porphyromonas gulae. RNAcentral's name for it is "partial 16S ribosomal RNA". It matches the Rfam family "Bacterial small subunit ribosomal RNA", at positions 1 to 294 of the family's 1533-position model. Lineage: Bacteria; Pseudomonadati; Bacteroidota; Bacteroidia; Bacteroidales; Porphyromonadaceae. The record is from RNAcentral.